This 457-nucleotide unclassified non-coding RNA is filed under the name Hevea brasiliensis (rubber tree). The record is from RNAcentral. Lineage: Eukaryota; Viridiplantae; Streptophyta; Magnoliopsida; Malpighiales; Euphorbiaceae.
UACUAUAUGCAGCCUAUGGCGAAGGAGUAAAUCAUAAUUACGGUGGAUGCUGCCACCAACUGAAUUCUCAAUGGGGAGGACUGCUUUAUCCACUAACCAGAGUUCAACAGCCUUGAAUGCAGCUUCAAAAUGUUCACAUGGGACAGUUUCACACUUGGGGUAUGCUUUUAGUGCAGCAGCCUCACUAUAUGCUCCUGAUAUUCCCUGAUAAGCAACCCGUACUUUUAUGCUGUCAUUGCGAGAUGCAGAAAGAUCUGUUGCUGAUAAUGGUUUAGGUAGAAGGUUCAAAUCCUUGUGAAAGACUCUGGACUCGGUGUCCUGAACCUUAUCAAUUGCCCCAGAAGGCUCCACCUCAGGAGUGAAGGGCUUCUCAUCAUCUUUAACAGGAGUGAUAACUCUCUGAGCCAAAACAGCCAAACGACAACGUUCCCGCUCAGGGAACCUAUCAAAAUCCCAA